AUUGAACGCUGGCGGCAUGCCUUACACAUGCAAGUCGAACGGUAACAGGUCUUCGGAUGCUGACGAGUGGCGAACGGGUGAGUAAUACAUCGGAACGUGCCCGAUCGUGGGGGAUAACGAGGCGAAAGCUUUGCUAAUACCGCAUACGAUCUACGGAUGAAAGCGGGGGAUCUUCGGACCUCGCGCGGACGGAGCGGCCGAUGGCAGAUUAGGUAGUUGGUGGGAUAAAAGCUUACCAAGCCGACGAUCUGUAGCCGGUCUGAGAGGAUGAUCAGCCACACUGGGACUGAGACACGGCCCAGACUCCUACGGGAGGCAGCAGUGGGGAAUUUUGGACAAUGGGCGAAAGCCUGAUCCAGCCAUGCCGCGUGCAGGAUGAAGGCCUUUGGGUUGUAAACUGCUUUUGUACGGAACGAAAAGCCUCUUUCUAAUAAAGAGGGGUCAUGACGGUACCGUAAGAAUAAGCACCGGCUAACUACGUG
This 482-nucleotide ribosomal RNA is filed under the name uncultured bacterium. Its description in RNAcentral is "partial 16S ribosomal RNA". It matches the Rfam family "Bacterial small subunit ribosomal RNA", at positions 30 to 507 of the family's 1533-position model. The record is from RNAcentral.